AUGUUCAUGUCAUCUGAGAAGAGGAGAUUUCAGGGGCUGACUUGGACUUCGCAGAUGCCUUUUAUGGUGGAGGAAAUCGUGAGUAGCUCUUUAAAGUCUCCGCUGUUGCUGACUUGCUUGUUAUCACUCAAUUAUUAUCAUUUGCAAGAGACUUACCUCUUGAGAAUGAUCAAUGGAACUUGUUUGCACCAUAGAAACUUAGGGAGUAAGUGUGAUGUUGUCUGUUUUUGAUGUUGUUGGACUUUUUUUUUUUUUUUGCCAGUUCACUUGCUUUUGUUUAGUCUUUGGAAUGAUGUAAGGCAAAUGUGACUCUCCUGGCCAUGUGAGGCGCACAGGCAUGCGACUUGUGAAGUCACCCAGGGAGCUGUGCUUACAAAGGUGCUAUAUUGGUUUACUGGUCUGUAGUUACCAUGUUGCUCUUCUUCAUACAGUUGGGAUGAGGGUCCCACAUUUUUGUUUUGCACAGGACCUUGCCAAUUCUGUCACUGGGCUAGACAGCUGCUUUAGUUUAAUUUGAUGUUAAACAAUGUAGCUGGAAGUGAUGGAAGAAAGUUGGCAGGAGGCUGUGUGUAUGGUUAUCCCUGCCAUGACAAGCAGCAAGCUCCAACUUUUACCUGAUCUGUCAGCCAUCUCUAUGCAAAUUGAUGGUGCAUUUUCUUUACUCUAAGACAGUCACAAUUGCAACUCUCAUUGUCACAAAGAGAUGACCCAGCACCUCCUAAUUCACCCAAGCCGAAGCCAAAUGCAAACCCUAAGCAACCUGGAUUUAUUGGUAAGUGCUUCUCACUCUAUGGGUUGUCUGUAUAUUGUCCAUAGUAGAGUGGCAUCCACGUCAGCUGGAUGAGAGGCUUUCAGAUGAGCAUGUGCUUGCUAUUAACUCUGUACAGAGUUAUUCCAUUGGGCAGGGAGGGAAGUACACAGUUUUCUGAAAUAGAUAUUUGACUUCAUUUUAUUUUUAGUUUGCUGAUUUUACUUCCAAGAUUGUAUGGAACUUCUAAAACACUGAGCACAAGAUUUUCAUGUGAACUUGGUAUAGAGAAAAUGGCCUGUGCAUUCCCUGUAGAGAAACUUGGGUGUUUUCAAUGUUUUUGCUCUUGAAUAUUUGUAUCAGCUAUUUUGACACUUGAGAGCAUUCUCAGGGUAAUCUGACUAGCAACUGGUUUUUGAAGUGAAUUGUUGUGAAACAUUCAGGGUUUUAGUUUUGUUUUUGUUUUUAAUUUUUAACACAGAAUCAUAAAUAAUGUGCCUGCGCUCUUGGCAUUUUGAUGGUUAUUUGCACUUAUAUUUUAUAUAUCAGUUUAAAUGAAGCAAAUGUUAAGUAAUAAAGCCAGUCUUUUGUUCAUACUGCACUGUAACGUUAUUAUUAUUAUUAUUAUUAUUAUUUGAGAUGGAGUCUCGCUCUGUCACCCAGGUGGGAGUGCAGUGGCACGAUCUCAGCUCACUGCAACCUCUGCCUCCUGGGUUCGAGCAAUUCUCCUGCCUCAGCCUCCUGAGUAACUGGGAUUACAGGCAUGCACCACCAUGCCCAGCUCAUUUUUUUGUGUGUAUUUGUAGUACAGGUGGGGUUUCUCCACGCUGGCCAAGCUGGUCUCAAACUCCUGACCUCAGGUGAUCUGCCCACCUCGGCCUCCCAGAAUUCUGGGAUUACAGGCAUGAGCCACUGCACCCGGCCUAUUUUAUAGUUAUUAAUAGUCACUGAACAUUUGCUCAUGUCAUUUGAUCAUUUAUAUCAUAUGACAUUUACUGUCAAUUAUAUACUAUUCUAUAUAGAUAUAUAAUACAUUAAUUUAUUUAACUAAUCCCUAAUGUCUAAACUAUUGUGUCUUCUGACUUUUUAGAGUUAGGAAUUACAAGGCAAAUUUGAGUCAACUUCAUCUGCUUUUUUUUUUUGAAGAGAUUUCUGGUAUUCAAAUUGUCUAGAUCAAUGUAGAUGAGUCCUUUUCUUUUUUUUUUUUUUUUUUUUUUGAGACGGAGUCUCUCUCUGUCGCCCAGCCCAGGCUGGAGUGCAGUGGCGAUCUUGGCUCACUGCAAGCUCUGCCUCCCGG
RNAcentral lists this long non-coding RNA (2045 nucleotides) under Macaca fascicularis (crab-eating macaque). Its description in RNAcentral is "lncRNA (ENSMFAG00000054206.1)". Lineage: Eukaryota; Metazoa; Chordata; Mammalia; Primates; Cercopithecidae. The record is from RNAcentral.